Molecule: ribosomal RNA, 494 nt
Filed under: uncultured bacterium
Lineage: Bacteria
Description: partial 16S ribosomal RNA
Rfam family: Bacterial small subunit ribosomal RNA
Source: RNAcentral
GACGAACGCUGGCGGCGUGCUUAAUACAUGCCAGUCGAACGGAAAGGCCUGUCCUUCCUUGUGUUGGACGGGUACUCGAGUGGCGAACGGGUGAGUAACACGUGAGUGAUCUGCCCCCAACUUGGGUAUAAGCCUGGGAAACUGGGUCUAAUUCCCGAUAGGACUGCAGGGUGGUGCCUGUGGUGGAAAACGAUUUUCUAGUGGUUGGGGAUGAGCUCGCGGCCUAUCAGCUUGUUGGUGGGGUAAUGGCCUACCAAGGCGGCGACGGGUAGCCGGCCUGAGAGGGUGGACGGCCACAUUGGGACUGAGAUACGGCCCAGACUCCUACGGGAGGCAGCAGUGGGGAAUAUUGCACAAUGGGCGGAAGCCUGAUGCAGCGACGCCGCGUGGGGGAUGACGGCCUUCGGGUUGUAAACUCCUUUCGACCGCGAGGAAGCCGCCUGGUUGGAAGGGUGGUGACGGUAGUGGUAGAAGAAGCACCGGCUAACUACGUG